CCAUUCAAACAUCGAAAAGACCCAAGCCAUUCGUUGACGCUUAUUCCGGAAAUACGAAGUCGUACGAGUUUGGCAAUUGACAACUAUUCUCCAAAAUGGCUUACAGAGGGGGAUCUGAUUGCAGAAUUUACGUCGGCAACCUACCACCAGAUGUUAGGCAAAGAGACAUCGAAGAUCUAUUUUCAAAAUACGGAAAUGUUCGCUACAUUGAGUUAAAAACUAGACGUGGUCCUCCAUUUUCCUUUGUAGAAUUUGAAGAUCCCAGGGAUGCUGAAGAUGCAGUGAGGAAGAGGGAUGGUUACAACUAUGAUGGCUACACAUUGAGGGUCGAGUUCCCUCGAGGAGCUAGGGGCCCCCCAAGUUUUGGAGGAGGUGGCGGUGGCGACAGAGGAAGUUUUGGUGGUCGUGGCGGAGGAGGCGGCGGCGGUGGAGGAGGCAGAGGCCCACCAUCCAGGAGAUCAGAGUUCAGGGUCCUUGUUUCAGGGCUUCCUUCGUCUGGCAGCUGGCAAGAUUUGAAGGACCACAUGAGGGAGGCAGGUGAUGUGUGUUACGCCGAUACUUACAAGGAUGGCACUGGCGUGGUCGAGUUCCUACGAAGAGAAGACAUGAAUUAUGCCGUACAAAACCUUGACGACUCAAAGUUCCGGUCCCACGAGGGCGAAGUAACAUACAUUCGAGUGAAGGAGAACAACAGCAGUGGUGGCGGCAGCAGCAGUCGAAGCAAGUACUCCCGGAGCCGCAGCCGAAGUUUCAGCCGCAGUCCUCGCAGGCGAAGGUCGCCAGCAAGAGGGUCACCAGAUUACUCAUCUGUACAGCGAAGGAGGCGAUCACGGUCCCGAUCCUGAUGACCCCGGGUCCCUGAUGUUGUAUCAUCGCUGGAAUCACAAACUGGGUGUGGUUGUCGUGUCAUUUCAUGAAAAUCAUAUUAUUAUUUUUUCGAUCAUAAUUUUGAGAAUGUGUUACAGAUACUGCUAUCGAGUUUAAAAAAAUGCAAUCAUCACUUAUUGUUGUAUUUUAGUGUGAUCUCAGAGCAUUUCUUCAAACUAGGCGUGGUCAAACUAGGCGUGGUCAAACUAGGCGUGGUCAAAAAUACAUUUCAACCUGGACAUACAACACUAUAUCUGUUGAGAACCGCCCUUUAAGACAUUAGGCUGAAUUUAUGAUGGCCCAUUUAUAUUUUGUCUCGUAAAAAAGGAAAUCCAUCUAAUUUAGUCAAGCGUGGUUACUGUUCUAUAUGUAUUUCUGGUUUCAGCUAUAUAAUAAAGGUUUUGAAAGAAAUGUUUGGUAGUGUAAAAUACGUUUUUACAAAGCUUAUACACUUGUAUUAAGAAUGCUUGUUCUAAGAUUCGGCCAGAAACACUUUUAAUGACAUUCAACUUGAGUCGAAGUCAAAUUUGAGAAAAUAUAUUCCCGUGUCUAAAACUAGCUUUGUAUAGUGCCAUGUUUUCCCUUGGAUUAUGUUCUUUGCAUUUAGUGCAUGCAAAAGAAAACAAGCAAAUGUAAUGGCUUUGUGGUCAAGUUUGCAAUGCUGUUGACUAUAUUAACCCUUUCAUCCCUAGGUCACUUAAGUAAACUCUACCCUGCAUUGAUACGGAUGAGUCCAUUAUGGUCUACAGUGAUGAAAGGGUUUAUUUAACAGUGUUGCUCAAAAUUUAUACCCUUCAAAUUUAGACCUCAAAGUUAAAGCACUAUACUCUGGAUUGAAAAAUUUCAAAAGAUCGGUGUCAUUGCUCUCGCAUUAAGGAGGAGUGCCUUAUGAAAUGGAAGAUUUCAAAAGAGACUGCUUCUUGUAACAUCAUGUUUCAAUAACAAUCAUUUCUUACGCAGCCAUGGAUAAACAGUCCCGCUGUCAAUCAUUUGGGCAAGGGCCGUCCAUAGUGGUUCUGUCCAAUGAGGGCUGUGGAUCCUAGAGUGGGUCGCUUCCAAUUGGAUAUGAUUGACGCAGGGAGUGACUGUAUCUACUCCAGACAUCCAUUUCAUUGGAGGUGAUAUUGGUUUUUGAAGUUGGAAGGAGUGGGAUAAGAUAAUGGAAUGGAUGGAUUUAGGAUAGGGAAAUUGGAUAAAAGAUGGAUUUUGGACCGAAUGGAGAUAGGAGGAAAAUAAAAUUAGGAUUUUUUUCCUUCAGUAUUUCGAAAAUUGUUUGGAAAAAGAGGAUAUAGGACCGAAUGGAGAGUAGAGGAGAAAAGUUUUUUAAAGGAUUUUUCUCCUUGAAAUUUGGAAAUAAUUUGGAAAAUUGGAAAUAGGACCGAAUGGAGAUUGGAGGGAAAUGAAGGAUUUUUCUCCAUAAUUUGGAAAAUUUGGGAAAUUUGGAUAAUAAAUGGGACAGAUUGGAGGAAGGAUGUCCCCCUUUUAUUUUUUUGGAAAUAGUUUGAUCAGUUGAAAUAGAGGAUAUGGAUUUUGGACCGGAUGGAGAUUUGAGGAAAAAUUCUGUAUGACAUAUUUUUUCUGAAAUUUUGGAUAAAGUUCUGGAAAUAUGAAGUAAAAUGGAUAUGGGAGGGACCGAAUGGAGAUUGGAGGAGCUAGUUAAGGACAAAAUUUAUAUUUGGAAAUGUAUGGAUUUUGGACCGAAUGGAGUUUUGAGGAUUUUGUUCUUCAAAAUUUGGAGAAUCGUGGAUAAAGGAACCGAAUGGAGAUCAGCAUUUGGAGGAAAAGAUUUUUUGAAAAAAUUAUUUUAGCUUACUUUGCAACAUUCUUUACAAUGUUAUUUUGAUAUGAAGAAAGGGUAGACAUGGAAAGAAGAUUGGAGGAAAAGAUUUGCUGGAUGGUAUUUUGAGGAAAAGAUUUGAUGGCAAACCAGAAUUGUAUUUGAGAAAAUAUGUUCGAUUGUACAUGUAUUUGGAUAUCAUCAGAUGAAAAAAAUCAGUCUGAACAUUAGGAAGAAUAGUUCAAAAUUGUUUCAACAAUGAUGUUUCUUUUUGUUCGUGAAGGUUAUACGUAAAAAGGUUAAUCUAGAUUAAAGAAUGAGGGCUGGGACCAAAUGGAUGAUGGAAAGUCGAAGAGUAAGGAGAUUGACACCUGAUAAUAUUUCUUCUUCAACGGUAAACAUUAAACUCAAGAUAUUAUUGGGUGUAAAUUAGGGCCCAUACAUCCAUUCUUACAGUUGUUUUACUUAUGAAUGCUCAAGAUUUUAAACUUGUUGUUCCGAUAUAUAUAUGAAUUGGGGAAAAUUUAGAAUUGAAGAGAAACAGUCAAUUUAACAAUUUAUGCAUAGAACAAUUGUUUAAAAUAUUUUGUCACGGAGCUUCUUUUUUUUUUUAUCCCAAAGGACAAUUUCCCACAGGCGAUAUGUUGACCGUGUUUUUAUAUAUAUGUAGCUAUUUUUAUUCAGAAAACUUUUUUUUUUUUAUUGUAAAAACUCAUGUACCCAGGAUUUUAGAAAAUGUGGAAAUAUAUUUCUCCCUGAGGAACAACAGAUGUGACAGUGACCGUACAUGGAUUCAGGGCUAAAUUGAACACGGACUAUAUGGAAACCCACUGGAUUGAUUGAAGGGGGAAAAGGACUAGUUCAAAUUGAUCAGGAAAAGUGAAAAAAUGACUUAUUUGGAAACAUGGAUCAUCCGACACGUUUUUUUUUCAUACAUAGUUUUAAUGUACAUUUUCAAGAAAUGUGUAAAAGACUUUUUAAAAAAGUUAUCUAGGUUAUCUUGAAAAUGUCAAGAUUCAUUUAUCAUUCACAAUUCACAUUUUAACAUUGUCCAUAUUUUAAUUGUCUUUUACUUCAUUGUUUUUUUUUCUUUUCAUUUGCUUCAUGGUAUAGAAUAAAGAGUAUUUUGUUGA
This 3777-nucleotide unclassified non-coding RNA is filed under the name Mizuhopecten yessoensis (Yesso scallop). RNAcentral describes it as "serine/arginine-rich splicing factor 1-like, transcript variant X2". Lineage: Eukaryota; Metazoa; Mollusca; Bivalvia; Pectinida; Pectinidae. The record is from RNAcentral.